RNAcentral lists this long non-coding RNA (1159 nucleotides) under Phasianus colchicus (ring-necked pheasant). RNAcentral's name for it is "lncRNA (ENSPCLG00000022044.1)". The record is from RNAcentral. Lineage: Eukaryota; Metazoa; Chordata; Aves; Galliformes; Phasianidae.
CAGACCUUACAAUGCGACCCCAACCCCAUUACAGCCCCGGGACCCCAAUCCUGAGCCUCCCCACCAACCCAACACGUAGAUCUCACAAACGAUACCCCAACCAACAGCUCCGGGACCCGCGUGGGACCCCCCCCCCCCCCCCCCCCCCCCGCCCUCCCCCUCCCCCCCGGCCCCCACCCACCCAGCACGUAGAUCUUGCCCUGGUAGACGGUGACGCCCAGGGCGCUGCGCCGGUACCGCAUGGGGGCCACGAAGCUCCACGUGUCGCUUUCCACGUCGUAACGCUCGGUGCUGUUGAGCUGAUCCGUCCCAUCGUAGCCCCCCAUGGCGUAGAUGCAGUUGUUGAGGGCGCAGACCCCUGGGGGGGGGAAGGGGGGGGAUCGUAAGGGGGUUGGGGUGGUGGGAGGGUGGGGUGUCGUGGAUCGGGUUGAGGGUGGGAUGAUGGAAAGGUGGGAUCACAAGGAUUGGGGUCGCAGGAGGGUGGGAUUGCAAUGGUUGGGGUCAAGGAAGGGGGAGGUUGGAGGAGGAUGGGAUCCCAAGGAUUGGGGUCAUGGAGGGGUGGGACCGUGGAGAGGUGGGAUAACCAGGAUUGGGAUCAUGGAAAGGUGGGAUCAUGGAGAGGUGGGAUCAUGGAAGGGUGGGAUCAUGGAAAGGUGGGAUCANNNNACCAGGGUUGGGAUCAUGGGAGGGUGGGAUCAUGGAAGGGUGGGAUCAUGGAAUGGUGGGAUCAUGGAAAGGUGGGAUCAUGGAAAGGUGGGACCAUGGAAGGGUGGGAUCAUGGAGAGGUGGGAUCAUGGAGAAGUGGGAUCAUGGAAGGGUGGGAUCAUAGAAGGGUGGUACCACCAGUGUUGGGAUCAUGGAAAGGUGGGAUUAUGGAAAGGUGGGAUUAUGGAGAGGUGGGAUCAUGGAGAGGUGGGAUCAUAGAAAGGUGGGAUCGUGGAGAGGUGGGAUAACCAGGAUUGGGAUCAUGGAAAGGUGGGAUCAUGGAGAGGUGGGAUCGUGGAAGGGUGGGAUUAUAGAAAGGUGGGAUCAUGGAAGGAUGGGAUCAUGGAGAGUUUGGAUCACCAGGGUUGGGAUCAUGGAAGGGUGGGAUCAUGGAACAGUGGGAUUAUGGAAGGGUGGGACCAUGGAGAGGUGGGAUCAUGAAAAGGUGGGAUCA